GAUGAACGCUGGCGGCGUGCCUAAUACAUGCAAGUCGAGCGAACAGACGAGGAGCUUGCUCCUCUGACGUUAGCGGCGGACGGGUGAGUAACACGUGGAUAACCUACCUAUAAGACUGGGAUAACUUCGGGAAACCGGAGCUAAUACCGGAUAAUAUAUUGAACCGCAUGGUUCAAUAGUGAAAGACGGUUUUGCUGUCACUUAUAGAUGGAUCCGCGCCGCAUUAGCUAGUUGGUAAGGUAACGGCCUACCAAGGCAACGAUGCGUAGCCGACCUGAGAGGGUGAUCGGCCACACUGGAACUGAGACACGGUCCAGACUCCUACGGGAGGCAGCAGUAGGGAAUCUUCCGCAAUGGGCGAAAGCCUGACGGAGCAACGCCGCGUGAGUGAUGAAGGUCUUCGGAUCGUAAAACUCUGUUAUUAGGGAAGAACAAAUGUGUAAGUAACUAUGCAGGUCUUGACGGUACCUAAUCAGAAAGCCACGGCUAACUACGUG
This 497-nucleotide ribosomal RNA is filed under the name uncultured bacterium. Its description in RNAcentral is "partial 16S ribosomal RNA". It matches the Rfam family "Bacterial small subunit ribosomal RNA", at positions 28 to 507 of the family's 1533-position model. The record is from RNAcentral.